RNAcentral lists this transfer RNA (56 nucleotides) under Tityus serrulatus (Brazilian scorpion). RNAcentral describes it as "tRNA-Val". Lineage: Eukaryota; Metazoa; Arthropoda; Arachnida; Scorpiones; Buthidae. The record is from RNAcentral.
GAAGAAACAAGCUUAAAUAAGCUUUUUAUUUACACUAAAAUGAUUCCAGUUUCCAU